This 413-nucleotide ribosomal RNA is filed under the name uncultured bacterium. RNAcentral describes it as "partial 16S ribosomal RNA". It matches the Rfam family "Bacterial small subunit ribosomal RNA", at positions 360 to 774 of the family's 1533-position model. The record is from RNAcentral.
AAUAUUGCGCAAUGGAGGGAACUCUGACGCAGCGACGCCGCGUGAGCGAUGAAGGGCUNCGGAUCNUNAAGCUCUGUCCUUGGGGNGAAAGGGAGCCGUAAGGCUUCUUGACGGUACCCAUUGAGGAAGCCCCGGCUAACUACGUGCCAUCAGCCGCGGUAAUACGUAGGGGGCAAGCGUUGUCCGGAAUUAUUGGGCGUAAAGGGUGCGUAGGCGGACCUUUAAGUUAGAUGUGAAAGCCCACGGCUUAACCGUGGGACUGCAUUCGAAACUGGAGGGCUUGAGUGUCGGAGAGGGCAGUGGAAUUCCCAGUGUAGCGGUGGAAUGCGUAGAUAUUGGGAGGAACACCAGUGGCGAAGGCGACUGCCUGGACGAUAACUGACGCUGAGGCACGAAAGCUAGGGGAGCAAACA